GAUGAACGCUAGCGGCAGGCCUAAUACAUGCAAGUCGAACGGUUCUUGGUUUUCGGAUCAAGGAUAGUGGCGCACGGGUGCGUAACACGUACACAACAUACCCUUUACUGGGGGAUAGCGGUGGGAAACUGCCAGUAAUACCCCAUGUCGUUAAGAAUUGGCAUCAAAUUUUUAACGAAAAUUACGGUGGUAGAGGAUUGGUGUGCGUCCGAUUAGCUAGUUGGCGGGGUAACGGCCCACCAAGGCGACGAUCGGUAGGGGGUGUGAGAGCAUGGCCCCCCCACACGGGUACGUGAGACACGGACCCGACUCCUACGGGAGGCAGCAGUAAGGAAUAUUGGACAAUGGGCGGAAGCCUGAUCCAGCCAUGCCGCGUGAAGGAAGAAUGCGCUCAGCGUUGUAAACUUCUUUUGAAUGGGAACAAUAAUCCCGACGUGUCGGGACUUGAGGGUACCAUUAGAAUAAGCACCGGCUAACUCCGUG
Molecule: ribosomal RNA, 483 nt
Filed under: uncultured bacterium
Lineage: Bacteria
Description: bacterial SSU rRNA
Rfam family: Bacterial small subunit ribosomal RNA
Source: RNAcentral